UAGGGAAUUUUCGUUCAAUGGGCGCAAGCCUGAACGAGCAAUGCCGCGUGAACGAGGAAGGUCUUCGGAUCGUAAAGUUCUGUUGAAGGGGAAAAGAGCGGAGAGAGGAAUGAACUCCGAUUGAUAUUACCCUUGAGGAAGUCACGGCUAACUACGUGCC
Molecule: ribosomal RNA, 160 nt
Filed under: uncultured bacterium
Lineage: Bacteria
Description: partial 16S ribosomal RNA
Rfam family: Bacterial small subunit ribosomal RNA
Source: RNAcentral